This 434-nucleotide ribosomal RNA is filed under the name uncultured bacterium. Its description in RNAcentral is "bacterial SSU rRNA". It matches the Rfam family "Bacterial small subunit ribosomal RNA", at positions 28 to 455 of the family's 1533-position model. The record is from RNAcentral.
GACGAACGCUGGCGGCGCGCCUAACACAUGCAAGUCGAACGGAGUCAAGAGGAGCUUGCUUUUCUUGACUUAGUGGCGAACGGGUGAGUAACGCGUGAGUAACCUGCCCUGGAGUGGGGGACAACAGUUGGAAACGACUGCUAAUACCGCAUAAGCCCACGGCCCGGCAUCGGGCUGAGGGAAAAGGAUUUAUUCGCUUCAGGAUGGACUCGCGUCCAAUUAGCUAGUUGGUGAGGUAACGGCCCACCAAGGCGACGAUUGGUAGCCGGACUGAGAGGUUGAACGGCCACAUUGGGACUGAGACACGGCCCAGACUCCUACGGGAGGCAGCAGUGGGGGAUAUUGCACAAUGGGGGAAACCCUGAUGCAGCGACGCCGCGUGGAGGAAGGAGGUUUUCGGAUUGUAAACUCCUGUCGUUAGGGACGAUAAUGAC